GGGAUCGAGGAUUGGAGGGGUGAGAGGCGGGCCCGACGACGGUGGGGGUGGGCGUGGGCGUGGAGGAGUGUUCGGUGCUGCGGGAGGUGGUGGUGGCAGCGUAGUCCAUGGCCAUGAUGAUGUGUCUCCAGCUUGAGAAGGCCGAGGUCCAAAUGGAGCUCCACCAGUUCCACUGAGUUUUGCUUAAGUCUUCUGGAUGGCACACUCCUGUCGUACCACAAAUCAGAACCAAUGCGUCAAUAGGCCUAAUUCACGUGUUAUAAAGUUAAUUAAAUGUUUGGGUACGGAGGUGAAGCCAAACUAGAGGCAUAUAUUGUGCAUGAAUAAGGUUGACCUGGUGGAAGACAAGGACCUCCUGAUAGUUGCAAAAGAAAUCGAAGAUCUUCUUGUGUAUGAAAGGUUUCAUUAGUAUUCUGAUUUUCACUAUGAUUCAAAAAUGUUUUGACA
Molecule: RNA transcript, 447 nt
Organism: Zea mays
Lineage: Eukaryota; Viridiplantae; Streptophyta; Magnoliopsida; Poales; Poaceae
Gene name: GTP-binding protein ERG pseudogene
Exons: 3
Source: RefSeq, marked validated